AGAUAUGCAAAAUACACAUGGAUCUGAACAUUUCUGAUCCGUUGGCAAAACCACUCCCGCAGGCUAAGCAUGAUGCGCAUGUAAGAGCUAUGGGUAUUAGGUACCUUCUAGAUUGACUCUAGUGCAAGUGGGAGACUGUUGGAGGUAUGCCCUAGAGGCAAUCAUAGAGAUGAUGAUAUUCCAUUUGUAUCCAUGAUUUGUAUUUUGUGUUCAUUGAAUAUCCAUUAAAGGCUACUUGAAUUGAUUUGCAAUUAUGUGAAUUGUAUGUGAAACUCUUUACUUGUAUGGUUAUUCUAAAGUUGUCCCUAGUCGGAGUUCAUGUGAGGACACACAUGAAUAUUAG
RNAcentral lists this long non-coding RNA (343 nucleotides) under Setaria viridis. RNAcentral's name for it is "long non-coding RNA (SVIR_LNC004925)". The record is from RNAcentral. Lineage: Eukaryota; Viridiplantae; Streptophyta; Magnoliopsida; Poales; Poaceae.